UCCAGGACGUCGUCCAGCCAUCA
Molecule: non-coding RNA, 23 nt
Filed under: Arabidopsis thaliana (thale cress)
Lineage: Eukaryota; Viridiplantae; Streptophyta; Magnoliopsida; Brassicales; Brassicaceae
Source: RNAcentral